This is a long non-coding RNA of Ornithodoros turicata, 1222 nucleotides long. RefSeq lists it as uncharacterized. The transcript has 3 exons. NCBI's taxonomy places the organism in Eukaryota, Metazoa, Arthropoda, Arachnida, Ixodida, Argasidae. The record is from RefSeq and is a predicted model, not a curated record.
CAACGUGCUCUACAAAGCGAAGCCAUCGACGCAAACAAGCUAAGUCAGACAAGUCGUAAAACGUCAAUUUCGUAGGAUGUAAAUAUGCGCGAAAUUUAUUAAAGCGACAAAGAGGACGUUCUGCGGGAAUGUAGCAUUGCUUUGCCUACCAUCCGCUGCUACGCAGAGGCUAUGGUACUGUGCCCGUGAGCGAGGGCCACAACCAAGAAUUCAGCUAGUGUCCUAAGAGCGCAGUAUGUCACAUAGUCGUUCUUUUCUUGUCCGUCCUUUUAGCGCUUUUAAUGACGACUUCGUCCUAAGAAACGUUUCAUGAUCUGAAAGGUAGCGUGACAGCUUUCAGCCACGGGGACCGCAGAAUGUCGACGUCAUGUCUCGAGCGUUCGAGUCCACGUCAAAACUAAUUGUCGUCGUCGUCGUCGUUUCUAAUUACUGAGGUCCGAACGGCAGAUCACAAGAUCACGUGAACGUGUCGACGCAGAAUCAUAACAGUGCGUACACUGUAACUGUGGUGCAAAUCGCUGAUGAUGGCGCUCCUCAUACUAAUAUUAAUGUCAGUGAGUCGCUGCAAAGGAGAGAAUCGUGAAAAUGUUACACCUUAUACAAGCGCCGUCCUUCCAGGAUCCCAACAGGCUGCAACGUCAGCAGAUGACCUCGAGAAGGCGAAAACCUCCGUCGAUGCAAGUCAGUAUCGGCAAUCCUCCCAUGACAUGGUCGACAUGAAGGCGAUGCUUGGAUUCCAAAGUCGGCGCAACCGGUACCGAGGCGGAGCUUCAAGGCAACCUCCGUACUUACCACGCAGCAAGAAGGUUCACAAUGCAACACGUGGUGCACACACCUUCUCGGUAAUCGCCUGUGUCGCGGUCGGUUUGAUAGCCUGUGCAGUUAUGCUUCUGUCCGCUUGCCUGGUGGUCUCGGCCUUUAUAGAUGGCUUCGAUGAAUCCUUCGAAAGCGUCUGCGAAAGACUCUCGCAAAGGCAGGUUACUCGAACUAUGAUGAAGAGCAGUGAGGACACAACCGGCCUUCUCCAUGACGACAUCGGCGUCUCUCUAUCAAGUUGGGUGGAUCGACGCGAUUGCUACGAAGAAAGGGAUGGACGAUCUCUUCCACGGAGUCCACCCGCGAUUACACCAAGCACGAAUAUACAUGCAAGAAUUGUAGAAUUGUAAAACAUGGAGUAGCGUUCUUCAAGUAUUCAAGCUGAAUUAAAUCAUGACAUAUAUUC